Topomyia yanbarensis is the source of this 2759-nucleotide long non-coding RNA. RefSeq lists it as uncharacterized. The transcript is spliced from 4 exons. The record is from RefSeq and is a predicted model, not a curated record. NCBI's taxonomy places the organism in Eukaryota, Metazoa, Arthropoda, Insecta, Diptera, Culicidae.
UUCCAGAUUUUAUCGAAAAUUAUUGCAGACUUCUAGGAAAAACACUUGGGAUCCCUGAUUGUGAGCCAUACCUCAUAACGAACUGUUAUCAACGGUAACUCAAUAAAUUGGUGUUUAACGCAGAAAAAACUAAAAGAAAAUUAUGACCCCCGAAAAUCUGUUUAGAAUAGCUGUUCGACGUCACAAAACUGAAAACUAACAAAUGGCAAUAAAAACAUUUCAUCCUCAUUCCUCAUACACUUUUAUGAUCCAUCAACAUAUAAAUCCAAUUACGAACACUAAUCACACCCAGGGUUGCCACUAUUUUUCAAAGAAAAUCUGGUAGUUCAACUAAAAAUGUCUGGCAAAAUCUGGCAUUUGACAGCGACCUCAAAAUCAUCGAAAUUUGGUAUACGUUUUAGGUUUCAUAGAACCUGCAUCAAUGGAUUUUUGUAAAAUUUGGGACAUUAUUACCCAAAUUUCCAAAAUGUGUGUGUGUGAGCAGCUUCCAAAACUUAAAAAUCUGGCAGAAUAAGAGGUUUGUCUUUUUGUCUGGAAGCUGCCAAAAACUCUGGCUGUGCCAGAUAAAUCUGGCAUAAUGGUAUCCCUGAUCACACCCGUUAUUUUUAUUUGUUUCUUUUGUUACAAUAUAUGCAACUCGAUGCAACAGGAAGCGACGACUAAAAAACAAUAGCCCAAAUACAUCAGCAACAAGAAGGAAAACUACGCACAAGAAAAUAGCAAACCAGAAUCUCUCUACUAUCUAAUAAUUUUUUGCCUCCGAUUAUCCUCUAUGUAAUGUAUCUGAAACUUGUGGAACUAGUUAACAGCCGGCGCCUGCUUGAAGAAGAAACUGGUGUACUAUACGGACUAGCACAUGCGAACAGUUAGGCUUUGUAGGGUCUCAUCUUGACAGAGUCUAGAUGGGCGGAUGAACGUCUGCCAGAGUUCGGACUGAGAAAUGACAAUGAAAAUGAUGAAAUCUGCGAGCCUACAUCUAAAAUUUCCGGGAAUCAGAGGGAGAAGAUUCGUCUUGUUUGAUAUUUUCCCGGCAAAUGGAGUAUUCUAGCCGGAUCUGUAGGAAUUCUUAAAAAUGCACCGAUCAUGCUGAUGCUGGAAUGAAAAAUAACUGCAAGCACGCCAAAUGUAAUACUAGUGAAAAAGAUUCGCACCAAAGCUGUUACCUUUUCUGAUGACGAAGAGUUUGGAGAACCUCAUCAUGCACACCGAAGUGGUUACGAGCGCAUAAAAACAAACGAUGCGCAAAAGUCUCUAUUCUUUUCAGAUGAAGAUGAAUUGCACUUGACCCUCGUCUAUGUACCAUCUGUAAAGAAUGGACCUCGAUUGCGAUAUAACGAGUAGGAAAGAUCUGUUCGUUCCCGUCACGGUAAAACGGUUUCUACGAAACCUCUAGAUUUGUCGCCCCUUCUGCGAUUGAACAUAAAAUUCGACGCCAUAGUGCUGCAAAGGGUGUGUUCGAUGCUCACGCGAAUUGAGCUUAACCUGUACUGCAGCUGUUAAUAUUGUCGAAUCGCAACCGAGUGUCAUGCCUUCAAAGCUACAUUUUUGUCCUCGUGAACAACAUUUACUUAUCGACUUAUGACCGAAACGUGGUGCUCACCUUCCAUGUAUAAUUCCGUCGAUGUUCGUUCAACCUUUUGGAAGAGUAGAAAAAUAAUUCGUCGAGCAAUAUGAAGCGGUCGUACUGCAGGAAGGAGAGUCUAAUUAGUACUGCACAAUACGCCAGUGUCCCAAAAACGAAUGUUAUACGACUACCGUCAGAGCUGCGCAAAGUUGUCUAGAAUAACGCGGUUAUCAUUGACAGUAAGUUGAGAAUCGAGAAGAUAUGUGUCGGAGUUCUAAUAUUUUUUUCUCUCGAUUUUCCAGUGCCGCACAGUGGGACGGAAUCAAAAAAGCCGGACAUUUAAAUUUUUGCGACGAAACUAUUGGUUAUGGCACUUUGAUGUCUUCGGAAAGGUUUCUUUAUUUUUUAAGUAGUUGAAUAUAAUGUUAUAUUAAACUGUGUAUAUACCCCCUUAAAUAAAAAUUUCCCAACAUUAUAUUAAACUACUUAAAAAAUAAAGAAAUCUUUCCGAAGACAUUAAAGUGCCUUAACCAAUAAUUUCGUCCCAAAUAUCAAUGUCCGGCUUUUUUUGAUUCCGUCCCACUGUGUGCCGUAGUGCAAUGAUUGCUGACAGUAAGCCAGAAAGCCAUGGAAAGCCUACGCCUGUUUUGGUCGCUGCAUUGGAUGAUAGGGUCUGCGUUCGAACUGUACUCUAAUGAGGUUUAUGAAAAUAUAAGUUUCCGUCUAGCAAUCCGAAUUACGGGGAACGCUCAAGAGGGAACUAGAAAGCUGCUAAAGAAGUAUUAAGAAUUAAUCAAUUUCGAAUGUGAAUGUCAGUGAUAGGUUGGACUCCAAUGAGGAAGAUAUUGGUGCUGAAGUGCUUCAUGAUUUUACCACCUUUAACAUGUAACCAACUGAGCUGUAGGAAAAAGCCUCACGAGAGGGAAAAAGAAACUAGUUAUAACAAAAAUUAACUCUUCCAUAUGGACCCAGUAUAUUUGCAGAAAUAAAACGCCAAAAUACUAUAUAAUGCAUAUAUUUUUCAAUUGAAUCGAUGCCUUUUGGUCUAACGACCCAUUUUCUUUAACACCAGUUUGAUUAUCUAGAACUACGUUUUUUCCAAAAAUCAAUCCGUCGUAUCAUUAAAUGUCUAAUUUGUUAUCUUUUUUGUUUGCCCCCUAACAACUAAAUUAAUUUUUUUCUGCCGCUAAUUUGA